RNAcentral lists this ribosomal RNA (484 nucleotides) under uncultured bacterium. Its description in RNAcentral is "partial 16S ribosomal RNA". It matches the Rfam family "Bacterial small subunit ribosomal RNA", at positions 30 to 507 of the family's 1533-position model. The record is from RNAcentral.
AUUGAACGCUGGCGGCAGGCCUAACACAUGCAAGUCGAGCGGAUGAAGGUAUCUUGCUCCUGGGUUCAGCUACGGACUGGUGAGUAAUGCCUAGGAAGCUGCCUGCUAGUGGGGGAUAACGUCCGUAAACGGUCUCUAAUACCGCAUACGUCCUAAGGGCGCAAUUGGGGGAUCUUCGGACCUCACGCUAUCAUAUUAGCCUAGGUCGGAUUAGCUAGUUGGUGGGGUAAAUGCCUACCAAGGCGACGAUCCGUAACUGGUCUUAGGGGAUGAUCAGUUACACUGGAACUGAGACAGGGUAGAGACUCCUAGGGGAGGAAGCAGUGGGGAAUAUUGGACAAUGGGGGAAAGCGUGAUACAGCAAUGCCGCGUGUGUGAAGAAGGUCUUAGGAUGGUAAAGCAAAUUAAGUUGGGAGGAAGGACAGUAAGUUAAUAGCUUGCUGUUUUGACGUUACCAGCAGAAUAAGCCCCGGCUAACUUCGUG